Molecule: long non-coding RNA, 561 nt
Filed under: Hordeum vulgare
Lineage: Eukaryota; Viridiplantae; Streptophyta; Magnoliopsida; Poales; Poaceae
Description: long non-coding RNA (HVUL_LNC016544)
Source: RNAcentral
UUCAGCGCGACCAAUCGCCGCAUCCUCCGCCUCCGCGGCCCGCCGCGGGGUCGCGGCCGCCGCAGUGUCCAGCCCUGCCGCGGUCCCCUCCACGGGGAAAGAUGGUUAGGGUUUCUAAGCCUGCAUUGAAUUACUUUUGUUGAUUAUGGGACACAUUAACUAGGGUCCUGGUGGGGUUAUUGUAUUUGUUCGAAAUUGAUUUUGACAAACAGGAAAUGAUCAGUUGUGACAUGGUACCUGCCGUGAAACUUGAGUAGCUUCCAGGGCUCCCAAUGUGGGCAGUUUCCAAUCCUCUGCCAAUGUCGAUUCCUCAGGGACUAGUUAGCACAACCUCUGUCCGGAAUCAACUGUCGCUGAAAUGAGUGUAUCCACACACUGAAACGUGUCAAGAUACACCCAUUUCAGCAACGGAGGGAGUAGUUGCUAGCAGCGCGCAAAGUUUGAAGUCUUAAAUAGCUUUUGAUAUAAAAUGAAGAGCCCCCUUAUGAUUGAUCAUCAGCUGUGUCAAAAUUCUGGUGAUCAUUUUUAUAUGACACUGGAUGAGAAAUUAUUUGUAAUGAG